CCUUCGAUAGCUCAGUUGGUAGAGCGGUGGACUGUAGAAGUUUUCCAGGUGAUCGAUUCCCGCAGGCAUCCAUAGGUCGCUGGUUCAAAUCCGGCUCGAAGGA
RNAcentral lists this transfer RNA (103 nucleotides) under Drosophila simulans. It matches the Rfam family "tRNA". From Rfam's summary of the family: Transfer RNA (tRNA) molecules are approximately 80 nucleotides in length. Their secondary structure includes four short double-helical elements and three loops (D, anti-codon, and T loops). The record is from Rfam by way of RNAcentral. Lineage: Eukaryota; Metazoa; Arthropoda; Insecta; Diptera; Drosophilidae.